UCUGUGGAGAGUACUGGAACUUGUGAGUAGUAUUUAAGUAAACUUAAAUACGAAAGCAUACUCGAUGAAACAGAAA
RNAcentral lists this non-coding RNA (76 nucleotides) under unclassified sequences. RNAcentral's name for it is "RAGATH-18 RNA". It matches the Rfam family "RAGATH-18 RNA". From Rfam's summary of the family: Actinobacteria, Firmicutes, Fusobacteria, Thermotogae (1 example). Nearby to self-cleaving ribozyme genes The record is from Rfam by way of RNAcentral.